AUGCACACCAAGAAGACUGACGGGAAGGAUUCACAUGUUCAAAUGGCCCAUGCCCCUCUGAGUGAAGGGCUAAGUUUGAUCUUUGAUCAGGAUGCCCAAUCCAGCUCUUCCUGUUCUCGUUACCCAUCUAGAAGUAGUCAUACCAGUAGCCAGUCCUCUGGCUCUAGACGACAACUUAAGCGAAAUAAUGCUCGUAGGGGACGUCACAGGUCCUCCACCAGUUCUUCGUCCUCCAGAUCAUCCCACUCAUCCAACAGCAGCACUCGGACCCGUCCCAGGUCCCGGUCACACCCGCGCUGCCAAAGAGCCUCCUCCAGCUCACGCUGCUGCCGUCAACAUCAACAGGCACAUGGACAUAGGCGCCACCGCUCACCAUCACGCUGUUACAGGGCACACUCGCGCUCCUACAGCCCUUCCUCUUCCCCAGACAGGCCAAACCGCCACAGUUCCCGCUCCAGGUCAGCCAGCUGGAGCAGGGUUCAUAGGGGGUUUGUGGGCAGGUACAAGUGCACGUUUUCUGGAUCACCCAACAGAAGCCACAAGACCUACACGAGCCGCUCCACAUCUUCAGGACAAUCAUUUGUCAGCCUCCAUAUAGAGAAAAAGGGGGAACUCAGGACUACGAAUGCCACCCAGGCACUGGGGAUGGAGCAACUGGACCUUCCUGAGAGUGUGACGCCCAUCCUGGAGGAGCAGCAACUGAAAACCGGACUAGCCACACCAGAACCAGAGGAACGGGUGAGACCAGAGCCACUCCCUCAAAAUAGUUUAUCACAGAUCUCAUGA
This 786-nucleotide long non-coding RNA is filed under the name Oncorhynchus mykiss (rainbow trout). Its description in RNAcentral is "lncRNA (ENSOMYG00000043180.2)". The record is from RNAcentral. Lineage: Eukaryota; Metazoa; Chordata; Actinopteri; Salmoniformes; Salmonidae.